This 397-nucleotide ribosomal RNA is filed under the name uncultured bacterium. RNAcentral describes it as "bacterial SSU rRNA". It matches the Rfam family "Bacterial small subunit ribosomal RNA", at positions 28 to 417 of the family's 1533-position model. The record is from RNAcentral.
GACGAACGCUGGCGGCGCGCUUAACACAUGCAAGUCGAGCGAGAACCUGGGCUUCGGCCCUGGGGACAGCGGCGAACGGGUGAGUAACACGUGGGUAAUCUGCCCUUGACAUCGGGAUAGCCCGGGGAAACCCGGAUUAAUACCGAAUAGCCUCCGGAGCCUUCGGGCGCCGGAGAAAAGGUAGCUUCGGCCUCUGGUCAAGGAUGAGCCCGCGGCGGAUUAGCUUGUUGGCGGGGUAACGGCCCACCAAGGCGACGAUCCGUAGCUGGUCUGAGAGGACGAUCAGCCACACUGGGACUGAGACACGGCCCAGACUCCUACGGGAGGCAGCAGUGGGGAAUCUUGCGCUAAUGCGGGAAACCGUGACGCAGCGACGCCGCGUGGGGGAAGAAGGCCU